CUACGGGUUGCAGCAGUGAGGAAUAAUGCACAAUGGGGGGAACCCUGAUGCAGCAACGCCGCGUGGAGGAUGACGCAUUUCGGUGUGUAAACUCCUUUAUAUGUCAAGAAAAUGACGGUAGCAUAUGAAUAAGCACCGGCUAACUCCGUGGCCAGCAGCCGCGGUAAUACGGAGGGUGCAAGCGUUACUCGGAAUCACUGGGCGUAAAGGACGCGUAGGCGGGUUGGAAAGUCAGGUGUGAAAUCCUACAGCUUAACUGUAGAACUGCACUUGAAACUUCUAAUCUAGAGUAUGGGAGGGGGAGAUGGAAUUAGUGGUGUAGGGGUAAAAUCCGUAGAUAUCACUAGGAAUAUCCAAAGCGAAGGCGAUCUGCUGGAACAUAACUGACGCUAAGGCGUGAAAGCGUGGGGAGCAAACAAGAUUAGAUACCCCCGUAGUC
RNAcentral lists this ribosomal RNA (439 nucleotides) under uncultured bacterium. RNAcentral describes it as "partial 16S ribosomal RNA". It matches the Rfam family "Bacterial small subunit ribosomal RNA", at positions 339 to 795 of the family's 1533-position model. The record is from RNAcentral.